AAAUUGAAGAGUUUGAUCAUGGCUCAGAUUGAACGCUGGCGGCAGGCCUAACACAUGCAAGUCGAACGGUAACAGGAAACAGCUUGCUGUUUCGCUGACGAGUGGCGGACGGGUGAGUAAUGUCUGGGAAACUGCCUGAUGGAGGGGGAUAACUACUGGAAACGGUAGCUAAUACCGCAUAACGUCGCAAGACCAAAGAGGGGGACCUUCGGGCCUCUUGCCAUCGGAUGUGCCCAGAUGGGAUUAGCUAGUAGGUGGGGUAACGGCUCACCUAGGCGACGAUCCCUAGCUGGUCUGAGAGGAUGAC
Molecule: ribosomal RNA, 307 nt
Filed under: Escherichia coli
Lineage: Bacteria; Pseudomonadati; Pseudomonadota; Gammaproteobacteria; Enterobacterales; Enterobacteriaceae
Also listed under: 2 other names
Description: bacterial SSU rRNA
Rfam family: Bacterial small subunit ribosomal RNA
Source: RNAcentral